AGAUAUUACCUUCUUAUUGCUGCCAAAAACUGAGGUCAUGGAGGUGAUUUGGCUGAUGGCCCAGUGUAAUCAAAGUGACUGCAGGCUGAUGUUCCUUUGGACCCCCUACACACCUCUUCAAUCAAGUAAGUCUUCACUCAAAAGAGGCAGCCUGGAAAGCUGCCCCAACAGCCACACAUCUAAUGCUCAGCCGUUCUUCAAGAUGAAUGUCAGCACACUUUUUCUCCACUAAAGUCACUUUCUGGCAUUUCUUUUUUUGAACCUUGGACUGAAAUUGUCUAUACCAUACACAUUUUUGUUCUAUUAAUCAAGUAUCUCAUUUGUACAUAUGUAAUUUUGAUAAAGAUACGGUUAGAACAAUAUUUCCUAAAUUGAUGCCUAUUUGAAGAUCACUAAGUGAGUAGAAGGGCUGUGACCUGCGUUUUACAAAAGUACAAGAAAAAGAAAAUAUGACAAAGAAAAAAUACAUUAGAAAAUGUCAUGCAUCCAAUGUCUAUUGCUUGAUUAAAUAAAGGUGUGCGUGUGUGUGCGUGCGUGUGUGUGUGUGUGUGUGUGUGUGUGUGUGUGUGUAUGUGCCCACACAAAAGCAUGCUUGAUCAUGAAAUAAGGUAUGGAGAGUCAAAAUACUCUUCAUUUCUAUCUUAGUCAAGUCUCAUUGCAUUACAAUGUCUUGGAGUACUUCUGAUUUAAUUCCCUCAGAGGUCUCAAUAAAUGAAUCAUAAUUAUGUGAGUGGUGAUCUCAGAGAUUCUCAAUCACACAGAAGAAUAAAUAUUUGCAAUUCAAUAAAUUUUGAAAAUGAAGGUCAAAUUUGGGAAAGGUAGACAAGAAUUUCUAACUACUUAAAUCGUGCUAAAAAUAAAAAAAAUUGGUCUCAAUUGAGUUGAGCAGUAUAAUGAGAAAGGGAGAUUAUAAGAAUAUUUGUAAAACAAGAACUUAUUGGACUUUAUAUAUGGGGUCAAUUGGGUUCAAUGCAAAUUUCUAUGAUACAAUAAUCUAGCUACAACUCACUUUACCCUCAUGCCUAGAUUAUUAGUCAUCUCUUAAAAUUUAUAAUAUUGAUUGCAAGUAAUUAUUUUAAAUAAUUUGCUUAUUUUAAAUAGAGCUUCCCAUUAUUUUUAUUAUUUCAAAAUAAUAGCUCCUCCCCAAGAAUCUAAGGUUGGUCUCUAGAAAUAGGAUAUAACGUAUGGUUUUCAUUUUAUUUUUUAUUGAGUUACUAAUACAGAGCAAUAAAAUUAAAGCAAAUAGAAUACUAAAGCUAGUGACAAAUAUAUUUAGCAUUUGGCAUUUAGGAUGUUACUAUGUAUAAGUCAUGAAUCAUUUCCUUUAGCCUACUUAGCUACGUCAUACAUCAAUGCCUCCUAUUUCAAUUUAUAUUUUUGCUAUUUAUUUCUUCCCUGCAUUUUAUUUGCGGAAGCAAAAUGGCACCUUUGAUUCUUGUAUACGUCUAUCAAGACUCCCCUCAGGCGUCUCCUCCUGAAUGUCUUUGUUCAUUACAUCCAAGCCUGUUCUCAGUGACCAGUUUUCCAUCCCAGGGAUCAUAUUGCAGAGAGAGUGAUACAUAUAACUCUUUCUGCUAUCUAAGACUUUCUCUUUGGGGCAAAAUUUCUUAUCUGUUUUAAAUACCCAACUCAAAAAAGUUGAUUGCAUGAUUAAAUUGAAAUGAUAUCAUUAAAUAAAGCAAUUACCCAA
Molecule: long non-coding RNA, 1690 nt
Organism: Cavia porcellus (domestic guinea pig)
Lineage: Eukaryota; Metazoa; Chordata; Mammalia; Rodentia; Caviidae
Exons: 2
Source: RefSeq, a predicted model, not a curated record